GUUAAGGCCAUGGGCUCUUGAUCAGGCAUAUAGUAGAAAUUUCUGCUCUGCUGUUUACAAACAAUAUGGCUUGGGGCAAGUUCCCUCUCUUAGGAGUUAACUAUAGUUUAGUAAUCUCUCAUAUGCUCAUAUACCUCUCUUGUUUGUUGUUGUGCAGCUCAUAUUAGGUUAUGGAAAUAAAAUAAUUUAACACAUUACCCUACUUAGUAGGCACUUCACAGAUGUUAGCUGUUAUUUUUCGCAAUCACCUCUGCAUUAGGGCAAAUGCUAUAUUUAUUGUACAUAUGUGUAAAUAUAUAAAUGCGUGUCAGUACAUAUUUAUUUUGUACUUAACUAUGCCAGCAGUGGAAGUAAACUGUUUAAAGCAGAUAUUCCCAAUGUAACUGACAGAUGUGAUUGCAUUUUAUUUCUCUGCAACCUUGAGAUGAGUAAAAUAUCUGAGCAAGGGACAGAUGGAGAAAAUAUAGUGCUUUGCUCUGAUAGGGAAGUGAUAAAUAGAGAGCUUCCCCACCCUGCCCCCUGCAAAUAUCCUGGUAGUAGAAAUACACUUGUUUGUUCAACAGUUUUGUUACAGUAGAUUGUGAUAUUCUGAUUUGAAAUUAGAAUCCAAACAGAUCUAAUUUAUCCUAAAAUUAUAUUAGGCUGACCUAGUUUAAAAGACUUCUGCUUUCAGCAGACAUUUUGAGUAAUUCCUAGACUAAAUGCAUGUUUUAAAUUUUUGUUUUUCAGCUAGGAUUUUUGUUCCUUUUACAAGUAAACCUAUAAAAAGAAAUCCUCUGCACUUGUCAUGGGAGUCGUUUUAUCUUUUUCAAGGGCUUCCUGGUUCCUUUGAAAGGAAACUAAACUCGUAUUUUUUCCUUCAAUUGCAGUUUCAUAAGAGGAUCCCAGAUGGGGGUUUACAAGAGCCAGUUUGGUUGAUGUCCAACCUAUCACCUGGUAUGUGUGUGUAUAUGCAUAUCUAUCUCCAAAUAUAGAAUUUUACAACAUCACUACAUUAACAAAUUAUGGUUCAAAUUAAACAUGGCUAAAUAAGCCAUGGGUCAGCAGGCAGCUUAAAAUAUUAAUCUGGAGCCAGGUAAAUGAAGAAUGAAAGCAAAAGUAAAGGGAUAGUUCAGAUAUAAUUAAGCUCCCAACUCAGCUGACUUGAGUUAAUCAAAAAAGAAGAUUCUGGCUUAAUAAGUGAAAGCCCUUAAAAGAGGGCCUGAGCUGAAGGCAGAGGAUCUGCUUGUAGUUUCAAUGCCUGAAGCCGUCAUACUGGAAAAGCCCACCUGAAUAGGAAGUGUGAUACUUCAACUCCAGAAGCUGCUAGCGGCUUUCAGGAUCUGAGUGUAGCCUCUGGUCGACAUCUAGCAAAAAUCCAGGGCGCCUAGUCAUAGCUAUAAGAAGUAAAGUCUGCCAAACACGUAAAUAAGCUUGAAUGAGGCUUCUUCCAGGCUGCAGAUGAGAGUACAGUCCAGACACGAGCAGAGGAACCAGGUAGCACUGUGCCCAGACCUGACCCGUGGACAAUGGGAGACAAUACAUGAGUGUUACUUUAACACACCUGUGCUUAGGUGGUAAUUAUGUAGCAAUAUAAAAAUGUCUAAGCUUUUCAAUUCAUUUAUGCAUGUAUGUAUAUUUUUAAGUACAAUCUAUAUGCAUGUAUUUGGAAAGGGGAAAAAUGUUGCUAUUGUCUAGUUUUCUUUUUAUUCUUCCUUCCUUCCUUCCUUCCUCCCUCCCUCCCUCCCUCCCUCCCUUCUUUCCUCCUUUUCACACCACAGGAACAGAGAAACCUUACAAAAUAAUUCUGGUGGUUUUUUAAAGCUUGUUAGGAUACCAGUUGGAUGAGGGAACCAAUAAAAAACCCCACAGAUUUGCA
This 1858-nucleotide long non-coding RNA is filed under the name Felis catus (domestic cat). Its description in RNAcentral is "lncRNA (ENSFCAG00000045833.2)". Lineage: Eukaryota; Metazoa; Chordata; Mammalia; Carnivora; Felidae. The record is from RNAcentral.